Long non-coding RNA from Clupea harengus (Atlantic herring), 2701 nucleotides. The record is from Ensembl. Lineage: Eukaryota; Metazoa; Chordata; Actinopteri; Clupeiformes; Clupeidae.
CUCCCUCUCUCUCUGUCUGCAGGGUGACUCUGGAGGUCCUCUGGUGUGCCCCAGCGACGGGCGGAUGACUCUGAUGGGGCUUAUCAGCUGGGGUGAUGGCUGUGGCAAGCCGGACACACCAGGAGUCUACACACGCGUCACACACUACAUUGACUGGAUCUCCAGCAAGAUGAGGAGCAACUGAGAGCACACACACACACACACACACACACACACACACACACACACACACGCACACACCAACGCACAUACGUCAUGACCUAAGGACGAUCUGACUCCAGGUACACUCAUAGGACAGUCUGCUCAGUAACUGGCCAACAUUAGGUAGCCAGCUCUAACACCCCCCCCCCUCACCCCCACCCAACCGAGGCCAGUUCCCCACCCUGUUACCCCCUAUGCCUAAGUGCCCUAUGCCAGCUCUAACACCCCCCCCCCUCUCACCCCACCCAACCGAGGCCAGUUCCCCACCCUGUUACCCCCUAUGCCUAAGUGCCCUUCCUUCCUCAGAGACCAAGCCCUCUUGCUGCGUUCUGCCUGGUCGGCCCUCGUUCCAAACGGCCCCCUCAACCCCUCCAUCUUUUAACGUUCAACAGAAGGGGUUGCCUCUGUGGAAUCCUCCCUGGUGGAACCUCACCACAAACAGUGUCACACUUCAUAUGAAGGGUCCUUGAUUACUAUUUACAUACAUAGCACUUCAUUUAUUGACAAGUACCAUGUACUUUUUAAUAUCAGUACAUAUUAUGACCAGAUGUACUUGGUGGACCACGUUAGGUUUAGGGUCAGGGUCAGUAUGAUGUAAUAAUAUCUACCUACAUGAGAAAUGCGUAUGGUUUUUAUUAUUAUGUAUGUACAGUGUAAUCAGGACACUUUAUAUGAAGGGGGGGCAGUGAGAUCCACCUGUGUGUGAAAGGGAGAACGCCAGUCUCUAAUCUGCAUCUGGGAUGUGGAUGCCUUUUUGGUGCAUGUUGGUGUUUGAUUAACAUCUGAUGCCUUGUAAAAAACUUGUCUUAAUCACCAAUCAUAGUGCAGUUUAGCUCUGUAUCUCUCUCAUGUGCAAAGGGAAAGGUAAAUGGACUGCAUUUAUACAGCGCUUUUCUACUCAUAGACCACUCAAAGCGCUUUACAGAUUAAUGCCUCAGACAUCUACCCAUUCACACACCGAUGGCAGAGGCUACUAUCUAAGGUGCCAACCCGCACAUCAGGAGGGUUGGGGUUCAGUGUCUUGCUCAAGGAACCACUAUCGCCCCGCGUCUCUGUAUUCUCUGCUGAGCAGAUCCAUAGGGAACCGCUGACGCCUGAGAGCCUAAUCUAAUCCAAUCCCGUCUGGGGUAGAUGAGCUCCAGACCUGCGCCAGCGUCGGGCUGCUGUCUCUGCAGUUGUGUGUCUGUAGAUCACCGCUACGAUGUAGGCUUGAGUCAUGUGUGUCUGUAGAUCACCGCUACGAUGUAGGCUUGAGUCAUGUGUGUCUGUAGAUCACCGCUACGAUGUAGGCUUGAGUCAUGUGUGUCUGUAGAUCACCGCUACGAUGUAGGCUUGAGUCAUGUGUGUCUGUAGAUCACCGCUACGAUGUAGGCUUGAGUCAUGUGUGUCUUUAGAUCACCGCUGGUCUCGCCUCAGCUACACUUACUUAUACGAUGUAGUCUUGCCAGCCCAGACAUGUCUGUGGCAUCACGUGCCGAGAUUUCACAGUGUGGGGACUACUCCUCAAAAAAGUGAACUAGAGGUGUGUCAAAAACAUAUACCAACAAGGCUAUGCCUGGAAGCUUGUUAAACCCCCCCGAUAUCUGCAGUUUCUUCUCCUUUUAACCAAAGACUUUCAAGCUUCCCUCUGAGCCCUGCCUGCCUUCCGGAAGCAUCUGAAUUGGGGGUGAAAUUCCAAAUGCAGUAAUGCUGUACUAGUUCCUAGGGUUGUCUCCAGACAGAUGUGAAUACAUAUCUGUAAUGAAUGAAUACAUAAAAUUGAGUGAAUGAAUGAAUGGAAAAUAAUGUAAUAUGAUAACCUGGCUAGCAAGACUAGUCAUGGAGUUAGCCCCCCCCUCCCCCUUCCCUUUCACGAUCUUCCACAAGAAUACAAGUGGAGUAUAGGACUGCAACUCAACAGAAGCUAUACGACCUCAAUGUGAUGUAUGUCUGUUAAUACACCCACUGAGGUAUGGUGCGGAGCGACAAACAGUGUAAAAAAAGAAAGAACUGUUACUAGGAGUGGGAAUGGUGUUCACCACAUACAUUUAUUGUAAGUAUUUAUUUUGUAAUUUAUGUAUUUAUAGUCUGUCCUGUAGUGUGCAAUCCUAUGCACAUUGUAGUGUCUCUCAAUAUUUUAAUUUAUUGUAUAUUUACGUCUGUCUUUUGACUUCAGUGGUAUCUCCUAGAUAUUCUGUCUGUUUUUUUAAAUAAACCUUUUUUAAAUGGAAUUAGACUUGUAUUCAUUAUUUUGUGCAAAUGUGAGUUUUAAACAAAUAUGCAAACGGGAAUUCUCUGUAGUCAAUAUACUGAACCAAACCCAGGAUCAAGAAACCAAACCAAGGAUCAAGGAAUUUAUAGCUAGAUCAUGUUACAACAGCACUUUAUAAUAAAACACUGGGGUAAGCAAUAUACAUUGUAAAAAUGUAAUUAAUCAUAGAUGCAAAGUACACUAUAUCAGUUGUAGAAAAUACAUAGAAUCACAUAGAAUGGGGAAUACUGAUAGAAUUAUGACUAGACU